This is a non-coding RNA of Durio zibethinus, 2984 nucleotides long. Lineage: Eukaryota; Viridiplantae; Streptophyta; Magnoliopsida; Malvales; Malvaceae. The record is from RefSeq and is a predicted model, not a curated record.
AUUAAAACUUUUAAACGGUAAUUACAAAAGAUUGUCUGCAAAAUAUAAAAAGGUUUCUUAUCCCAAACUCAGCUCGCGCUUGGUAUGGUACCUCUCAAGAUGUCGUCUCCGCUUCAAUGUCCGUCCAAGCUUCUCUUCCCUCUCCACCAUCCUUACUCCAAACCUGUUCUCUCCUAUCCAACUCCACGACUUCUCUAUCCUCGUCGCCAAACAUUCCGAAUCUUCUGCGCUAAGAGAACCGGCAAGCAGAGAUACCCUUCCGAGAAGAAGAAAAUGAAAUUGAAGCAAAAAGAUGCUCUAUCUUCUGUCACGAACAAGUUCGAAGGGAUCUGGAGGCUCUCCAAUCUCGCAGUUUCGGUCCAAAACGACCCCGGAAAGGAUUUUCUCCAAGUUCAUAAUGGCUUGCUCCAAGAAAUCGCUAAAGUCCUCAAGUUUCCAGUUGCUUCCAUGUUGCCAGAAGAAGCUUUCUCGGUGGUUCGGAAAUCUUUUGAUGCAAGAAAGAAACUGAAGGAGGCCAAGUUUGUAUAUACUGUGGAUAUGGAUGUCAGUAAGCUGCUAAGUCUAGAACCUCGUACAUGGGACUUCAUAUCUCGGUUGGAGCCAAAAGUUGGGCUUAUAGAACAUAUGCCUCGUGAAAGAUUUGCUCGUGAUUUGAUGAGUAUAGUACAUGAUUUUAAAGAUAGCAAUGGUGGUAUAUCGUCAAGAGAACAAGAACGUAACAUUCACUCUGGUGAAUCACACAAGUGUUCCACAGCUAGAAAACCAAAAAUUGCAGUUGUGGGUGGUGGCCCAUCUGGCUUGUUUGCUUCUCUGGUUCUUGCAGAAUUUGGUGCUGAUGUUACUUUGAUUGAAAGAGGUCAAGCGGUUGAGAGGAGGGGGCGUGACAUUGGCGCUUUAGUUGUUCGCCGGAUUUUAGAAUCAGAAAGCAAUUUUUGCUUUGGGGAGGGUGGUGCAGGUACCUGGAGUGAUGGAAAACUGGUAACUAGAAUUGGAAGGAACAGUGGCUGUGUUUUAGCAAUCAUGAACACCUUGGUUCACUUUGGUGCUCCAAAAGAUAUUUUGGUUGAUGGUAAGCCUCAUUUGGGAACAGAUAGGCUAGUUCCUUUACUCCGUAACUUCCGGCAACAUCUUCAAUCACUGGGUGUGGAUAUCAAGUUUGGAACGAGGGUAGAUGAUCUGAUUAUAGAGGAUGGACAUAUUGUGGGUGUGCAAGUCUCUGAUUCAACAAAUAAAUUGCAGUUAGAUUGCAAGAAGUUGGGAUUUGAUGCAGUUAUUCUGGCUGUUGGACAUUCUGCACGUGAUACAUAUCAAAUGCUUCUUUCUCAUAAUGUGGAUUUGGUCCCAAAAGAUUUUGCUGUUGGUUUGCGAGUAGAGCAUCCUCAGGAACUAAUCAACAGCAUACAGUAUUCUGGAUUAGCCAACGAAGUUUGCAGUGGACGUGGGAAAGUACCAGUGGCAGAUUAUAAGGUUGUGCAGUAUGUUAGUGAUAAGGAUGAAGAUUCACCUUUCAAGUUGGAGUCUACAAGUCGUAGUUGUUAUUCUUUCUGCAUGUGCCCUGGUGGGCAGGUUGUUCUCACUAGCACAAACCCAUCGGAGGUCUGUAUUAAUGGGAUGUCAUUUUCUCGCCGUGCAUCUAGGUGGGCAAACGCUGCCCUUGUUGUGACUGUUUCAACAAAAGAUUUUGAUGCAUUGAAUUUCCAUGGACCUCUUGCUGGGGUUGAAUUUCAGAGGGAAUUUGAGCGAAAAGCAGCUAUAAUGGGAGGGGGAAAUUUUGUGGUGCCUGUGCAGACAGUUACUGAUUUUAUGGAAAAUAAAGUAUCAGUAACAUCUAUGCCACCAUCGAGCUACCGGCUAGGAGUGAAGGCAGCAAGUCUCCAUGAAUUGUUCCCUGUAUACAUGACAGAUGCUUUAUGCUAUUCUAUCUCAAUGUUUGAUAAAGAGCUACCUGGAUUUAUCUCCAAGGAGGCUCUUCUUCACGGAGUAGAGACUAGAACUAGUUCUCCCAUUCAGAUUCCGCGCGAUGGUGACACUUGUGAGAGCAUAUCUUUAAGAGGGCUCUACCCGGUUGGUGAAGGAGCAGGUUACGCUGGUGGGAUUGUAAGCGCAGCAGUCGAUGGCAUGUACAGUGGUUUCUCUGUGGCAAAAAAAUUUGAUUUGUUUCAUGGUGACAUAGAGUCGGUUUUAGGAAAGGCUCAGAGUGCUGGAUUGGUGAAGUACUAGAAGGGUUUUGGUUCCACUUAUUUUAUAAGCAAUUCACUUCACAUGAGUACUUACUCCAUUAUCAUUUAGAGCUCUACAAAAUCGAGGAUGAUGAUGGGGGGACUUCAAAUGCAACUCCAAAUUUAUUUCAGAAACUGUUAACUAGAUGAAAGGAUAAGAUUGCCAUGCUUUGUUACCUUGUUGAUCGUGAGCCUGUUCAAAACUGGUGUUUUUUCUGGGCACUCUCGUUAAACUGAACCUCAAGGGCAGCCAUGGAAGAGCAAACAGAAGUCUAUAGCGGCUAAACUAACCCAACAUACUCUUUGUUUUCUAACUUGUUAAUUAGAGGUAAUUGAUGGAAGAAAAAAAUAAAAGGAAAUUCACAAUCAUGCAGCCAUUUAUGAGACAUCUAAAGGAAGAGCAGAGCUGUGUUGCGGAAUUAGUUUGAAUUCUGGCAUUUUAAUCAUGGAAUUGUUUUUUCGGUUUUAUUUAGUAUGAAGGCAAAUUUUAAGGUCUUUGGGGUUAGUAUCCUGAAAUGAAAAAGCAUACGAUGAUCCAAUAUCAGACUUCUAGUUUUAUAAGCUUUUGUACAAUUGUAGAGAAGAAAGUUUUUCGAUGGAGUUAUAUUUUCAUUUUUUAGAUAUCAUAUUCUAUCAAUCUUUAUUCAGCCCGCUAGUAGAGUAUCGGAUUAGUUCAUGUUGAUAGGAUUUUUAGUUUUAAUGAUUAAGAUGGAUUAGGAGUGUUGGUUGGAUUUUUAAUUUUUAUGCUAUAUUUGGAUGGAUACU